Molecule: ribosomal RNA, 253 nt
Filed under: uncultured bacterium
Lineage: Bacteria
Description: partial 16S ribosomal RNA
Rfam family: Bacterial small subunit ribosomal RNA
Source: RNAcentral
UACGAGAGGCCCAAACGUUAUUCGGAAUCACUGGGCUUAAAGAGUUCGUAGGCGGCGCGGAAAGUGGGGUGUGAAAGCCCUCGGCUCAACCGAGGAACUGCAUUCCAAACUCCCGCGCUUGAGGAGGAUAGAGGUGAGCAGAACAGAUGGUGGAGCGGUGAAAUGCGUUGAUAUCAUCUGGAAUACCGGAGGCGAAGGCGGCUCACUGGGUCCUUUCUGACGCUGAGGAACGAAAGCUAGGGGAGCAAACGGG